Colossoma macropomum (tambaqui) is the source of this 642-nucleotide long non-coding RNA. RefSeq lists it as uncharacterized. Lineage: Eukaryota; Metazoa; Chordata; Actinopteri; Characiformes; Serrasalmidae. The transcript has 3 exons. The record is from RefSeq and is a predicted model, not a curated record.
ACAGUUUAAACUUUUGAAGUUUUUUACUCGGCGCGUGUUUUAAUGGAUUUAUUUUGUUUAUAAAAUUUAACUUGUUAUUACUUUUCAUUCUCUGUCGUCUGUCUUCAUUUUUAAUUUCUGUAGAUAGUCUAGUGUUAUUUUCUGCUUAAAUAAGAGUUAUUUAACCCGACCACUUUAUAAUUUUGGAGUGUGUCUGUCAGAAUUUGUGACCAUUCAGUCAAAGGAGCCUUUGCGAGGUCAGACACUGAUGUGGCCUGGUGCACAAUUGACGAUCCGAUUACUUCCAGAGGUGUUCAGUGGGGUGAAUGAAUUGAGACCCUGUGAUCCCUGGUUCCUAUCACCACCAAAUCAAAUUAAGGGAACGGAAGUGAAUACAUGGGGGAGGAAACGGCAAUCACUAUGAACUAGAUGUGAAGUGACACAGUGGUGCGUGUGCCUGUGUUGCUGGACAUAAACAUAGAUCUUUUACACAUUCAACACAUUGGUGUUUAUGGGGUAGCCUUUAGCAUUGUUUUGGAUAUAAGUGUACUUGUGUGUUUUUGUCAAUUGUUUUAUAGCAAGAUUUCUGGUGCAAUUUUUAGAAUUUACCUCCAAACUGUUUUUUUUUCAUCCUUGCAGCAAAGCUCAGAAUAAAAACAAAUG